AUUGCUUUUCGGACUUUUGAAUAAAAUCAAGUGUAGUAUGUGUUUUUAUCAGUGUAAUAUGUGAUAUGGUCUCUAUUCAGGGACUAUAUAUUAAAUUGGUUUUUGUAGUUAGAAGUUGGAAUAGGGGCUUGUUACGUCGGCUUCACACAUCGGUUUGGUAUUGCAGUGUUUCCAAGAACGAUGC
RNAcentral lists this small nuclear RNA (184 nucleotides) under Sinocyclocheilus rhinocerous. RNAcentral's name for it is "U2 spliceosomal RNA (ENSSRHG00000005895.1)". It matches the Rfam family "U2 spliceosomal RNA". From Rfam's summary of the family: U2 is a small nuclear RNA (snRNA) component of the spliceosome (involved in pre-mRNA splicing). The record is from Rfam by way of RNAcentral. Lineage: Eukaryota; Metazoa; Chordata; Actinopteri; Cypriniformes; Cyprinidae.